AUUUCACAACUGAAGCUGCUCUUUUGUAACUUCCAACCCAUUCCAAACCCUUUUUCUUUCAGGGUAAUGAAAAGCACUGCUGCAAUAUAAAGCUCCACAGUCAAACCUCUCUGAUGGAACAGAUUCUUCUUUUGUAAGAACAGAAAACAGGGCAGUAUGUGAUUUUUUUCAAAACUUAUGAAGAUACUUAAAUCACAGAAAGAGUAUUUUUAAAAACAAGAAAAAAAAGAAUACUGCUACAGAUAAAAGGAACCUUCUUAGUUUAUUUCUUCAAGGAGCAUGAUGACUUAGCUGAAGUUCAGUUGAAUUGGUCAAGGUUAACAGAACUUAUAAUCAACUCCUGAAAACCUUUCCCCAGAAUUUAGAUGAACUAUUCUAGGUGAAAAAAAAAUAAAAACAGAAAAACCUUAAAGCAAAGUAAGGUUAAAGACAAAA
Monodelphis domestica (gray short-tailed opossum) is the source of this 435-nucleotide long non-coding RNA. RefSeq lists it as uncharacterized. Lineage: Eukaryota; Metazoa; Chordata; Mammalia; Didelphimorphia; Didelphidae. The record is from RefSeq and is a predicted model, not a curated record.